GCAGACACAAACAGAAACAGCCGGAGAGAGGAGGGGGAACCGGAGAGAGAGAGAGAGAGGAGAAGCCAAAUCUCGGCUGCGAUUGUGGCCGGCGAGAUGGAGGCGGAGUGGUGGGAGUGGGACGGGACGGUCCUGCAGGACGCCGCGGAGAUGGACGAGCCCGGAAGGGUGGGGCUCGCCGCCGGGCUGCUCGACGUGAACCCAGGCCGCGGCCAGGAGAGGUUCGAGAGGGAGUGGGAGCAGAUGGAGGACGAGAUCUACCGCCAGGUGCUCGCCAUCGGCUCCUUCGCGAGGCUGGAUAAUGAUGAGGAUGGACGUAGGGAAUUCGGCCGUCAAACCGCACUGCACACCUAUCUUGGCGACGUUGAUGAUAUACCGGGCAGAAAAGCUACUCUCUUAGAAGCUGGUUCGAUCCUCAGCCUGCCAAUGCUCUUUCUUCACGGUGUCGUCCUGUUUCCUGGAGCUACCUUGCCUCUGAAACUAAUUGAGGCUAGGUUUGUGGCAGCUGUCGAGAAGGCUUUAAGGCGUGAUGAUGCCCCGGGCACAAUAGGCGUGGUUCUCAUGCACGGACGGCCAAAUCAUCGAAACUAUGCUAAUGCUUCAGUUGGAACCACAGCAGAGAUACGGCAACUUGGACGGUCGGAUGAUGGUUCAAUAAAUGUUAAAGCACGUGGUCAGCAACGAUUUCGUCUGAUCCGUUACUGGUCGGAUGUUGAUGGGGUGGUGUGGGGUGAGGUUCAAAUCAUUGAGGAAGAUCCUCCACUAAGAACUCCAAGAGGUGCAUUUGCACAGCUAGCUGCAUCUAGGAGCUGCCGGCUGCAUACUUCUUCACCAGUUAUGAGCUUGGAUGUGCCACCAAUGAAACAACAGGGCCUUAUGGAUUCAGGCCUAGAUUGUGAUACUCCUGCAAGUGAUUCAAGUUCACAGUCUAGCAAUUCAACGAAGCCUUCUGGUCAGUCAGGCGAGAAUACCAACAUGGAUGAGGAGGAUUAUAUUUGCUCGACACCCUCGAGCUCAAGAACAGAUACAAAGCACCAGCACCAGUACAAUGCUGCUAAUUACUCGAAGAAGCCUCUUCAGGCAUCAUUGGCCUUUUGGCCUCAAUGGGCUUAUGAAAUGUAUGACCCAUAUUCACUUGCCUGUAGAGCUGCUGAUUUGUGGAGACUGAUAAUCAAAACGCCAAGCAUUGAUGAGCUUGUAAAAAAGCCAGAUCUUUUGUCAUUUUACAUCGGAAACCAGCUUCCAGUAUCGGAACCUGUGAGACAAAAAUUGCUGGAGAUUAAUGGGGUUUCGUAUCGCCUACGAAGGGAGAUCCAGCUUCUAAAGGCCUGUGAUCUCAUAAAAUGUGGAUACUGCAAGUCUGAAAUAGCAAAGCACAGUGAUGUGGUGGUGAUGUCUAGCGAUGGGCCUCUCGGUACUUACGUCAACAAUCAUGGGUACGUGCAUGCAACGAUUACUGUGAACAAUGCAACGGGGCUUGCUCUCGAGGGGGAACCCACAGAAGAACACAGCUGGUUUCCAGGAUACGCUUGGACUAUCGCGUCGUGCGUGCCCUGCGGUUCCAACAUAGGCUGGCGGUUCAGUACCACCAAGAGGCAUCUGCACCCGAAAUCCUUCUGGGGGAUCCGCAGCUCCCAGAUCGCGGAUGUUGUAGAUGUAGAACAACAGCAGGAGGAAGAAUGAUAUGCCGCCCUCCGUGUACAGCCAACCCUGCCUUGACUUGUGUCGUCUUCUUCCGUUUCCGCAGACAUAGAACCUCUCUUGUUUUUCUAGCCUAGCCCCAUAUAUACCCGCCUUUCGCCCUCAGAGUGGUAGCCAGUGAAGUUCCUGGGAGACUAGCGAACCUAUCUUCUUGACUGUGUUGUGUGUACCGUAGUCCGUUUCAGAAAUUUUCUGAGAUGCACCUAGGCUGGAUAAUAAGUUUUCCGGAUGCUAAACAAAGCAUGCCUGUGGAAGUCUGUCUGUACUUAAAUAAGUGCGUUAUGUUGGAAAAAGAAGUCUAGCUCCAUUUGAGAUGAUGAUGCUUGGAAAUGUCAAAUGUGGCUGCUGUGCAGAUCUGGGCAAGUGCGUGCGGCUUCGUGGAGAAGAAAGUAUAAAGGCUGCACUUGCCAUACCCUGUACGGUAAUGCAGUAGAGUAUAUAUCGGUGUAGUGGGGAAGUGGCCCUGAUACCUGAGUGAAUGAGUGGUAGCUCCACAAUUUACCCCAUCACCAUGCUUGGUAGCACCGAGCUGGAUGGAUGCAGCAGGGUCGCCGGCCCAGCUGAGCUAGCGCAAGUGGGGAGUAGCCAAUGCAUAUGGAGCGUGUAGUGUCGGUUUGCUCCAGCCAGUAUCUAUGGAACCGGUAGCGAUUCGGCCGGUAUUGCAAUACCGCUUUUCCUUCUGUAAAAGCGAGAGAGACCUGACGCUCACGGGCGGCACAAGCUGACAGUAGGAGAGAGGGGGAACCAACAGUGACAGAGAAUGUGCGCUUCCCUGCGCCUGCAUGUUGAUUGCAUUUACGGACGCACAGAGAUCACUUGAUUGACGCUACUAAUACGAGGUAUGGGUGGCUGUAAUAUAACUGUGUAAAGCUGCAAGGAUGGUGCAGACUGUACUUGAUGGCGAGCAUGCCCAAUUGCUCAAUUGCCUACUCACUCAUUCCCGUACGACUUUUAUGUAUGGUUGGUUGGGAAUCGACGCGCAUGCAAUGCAGCGCAGCUCGGUCGACGCCGGGCAACCCACCAGCGCUGGAUAUCUUCUUCCCGGAAGUGGAAAUGCUGGCAAAUCCGUUUCAGAAAACACUGUUUUCGGUCAUUAUAUAGUUUAUUACUGGAAGAAAAGGUGUGUCUACUAGCAGCGCUCAUCACCCACGAGAGCCACGUCGGAGGUCGUGAUGCCGCCACGGAAUGGAACCAGGGUGCGUGGCAACACUGCUCAAAACAAAGUAAACCACGGGGCCGCGGUUAGCCACCGUAAGUACGUACAAGGCUGGUUUGCCUUUCCGGAUAGGACACUGGGAGACAGAGGCGAACGAAGGGCAAGACGAAGACGAACGAGCGCACAUGCAUGUGGUGCAUGCACCCCCGUGGCCGCCGCGCACAGCACAAGCGCCGCUCUGCUAGAUGCGCGCGCACGCCCACGCCCACACUAGAGCCAACCAGCACGAACAGCGGGCUCUGCUCCUGCUCGUGCUCGUGAGCUGUGUCAUUCCAUCGUUCCUUCGGAACAGGGCGCCCGUGAUCUCCUUAAAUUCCCCCCGCUCCCCGAUUAAACCUGACACACCCCCUUGUAGCCUUGCACCCAGCUAGCUGCCGGUGAGGUGAGUGACCACCGCGACAGCCAACAGCACCCAUCGGCUGCUGCCAUUGGCGUACGUGCGUGCAGCGCAUUGUCGCGGCAAUGGCGGUGUCGGCGUCGUCGUCGGGGGUGCGGGCGCGGGCGAGGUUGCUGGCGUGCGUGGCCGUGGCGGCGCUGCUGCUGCUCGCGCCGGGCGACGUGGACGCCGGCCGGCAUGGGCACGGGCGGGGGCGGGGGCGCGGGAGCGGGAGCGUGGCACACAGGCAUACCAAGGGCCUGCGGCCGGGGAAGGCGAUGGCGGCGAGGCCGUACCCGGCGAACGCGACGGCGGCGGAGGCGAUCGAGCGGAGGUUCACGCGGUGGGUGUGGUUCAUGGGCGGGCUUGACCACAGCGUGUUCCAGCGCGCGCUCAACCGCGCGCUGCUCCCGUCGACUCGCACGAUCGUCGUGGACAGGACGCCCGGGGCGGGAGACUUCACCACCAUCCAGGCCGCCGUGGACUCGCUCCCGCUCAUCAACCUGAUGCGCGUCGUCAUCAAGGUCAAUGCCGGCACCUACACGUACGGAGAAGGUGAGCAUCUCGCCGCUGCGCGGGUUCGUGACGGUGGAGGGCGCGGGCGCGGACCGGACGGUGGUGCAGUGGGGCGACACGGCGGACACGGCCGGGCCCUGGGGCCGCCCCUUCGGCACCUUCGCCUCCGCCACCUUCGCCGUCAACUCGCAGUUCUUCGUCGCCAAGAACAUCACCUUCAAGAACACGGCGCCGGUGCCUCGGCCGGGCGCGCUGGGGAAGCAGGGGGUGGCGCUGCGGAUAUCGGCGGACAACGCGGCGUUCGUGGGGUGCAACUUCCUGGGCGCGCAGGACACGCUGUAUGACCACCUGGGCCGCCACUACUACAAGGACUGCUACAUCGAGGGCUCCGUCGACUUCAUCUUCGGCAACGCCCUCUCCCUCUACGAGGGUUGCCACGUGCACGCGAUCUCGCCGCACUACGGGGCGCUGACGGCGCAGAACCGGCGGAGCAUGCUGGACGACACGGGGUUCUCCUUCCUCAACUGCCGGGUGACGGGGUCGGGGGCGCUCUACCUGGGCCGCGCCUGGGGCACCUUCUCCCGCGUCGUCUUCGCCUACACCUACAUGGACAACAUCAUCAUCCCCCGCGGCUGGUACAACUGGGGCGACCCAACGCGAGAGAUGACGGUGUUCUACGGGCAGUACAAGUGCUCGGGGCCGGGGGCCAACCACGCCGGCAGGGUGGACUGGUCCCGGGAGCUCACCGACGAGGAGGCCAAGCCAUUCAUCUCCCUCAGCUUCAUCGACGGCCUCGAGUGGCUCAGGUUGUAGCAGCGGCCGGAUCCAGGCAGGGGCAACCGCAAGUUAAUGAGUAAUGACUAGCAGCAGAGUAACUUGGUUUGGCUGCAGCAUUUGCAGCUGAAUCCAUGACGAGCACGCAUGGCCAUCUCCGGCCUCCGGCUCCUUUUUUUUUUGGCUUUUAGAAGUGGGAUGUGAAUCACACCACAUCGGUUCGUUUUAACAGUUGUUGUGAGCUCUGACGAACACAGCAAACAGUGGCAUGCACCUUGUGUUCUCUGUCCAGUGAUACUUGUGAUUUUUUGUAAGAAAAAAACAGUCGUGACGAGAAAGACUCAAAAGAGACACACUAGUGCAGAACCGGGCAAUAGCAUCGGUUCGUAAGGCCCUUUAGUGUCGG
Molecule: ribosomal RNA, 4989 nt
Filed under: Triticum aestivum (bread wheat)
Lineage: Eukaryota; Viridiplantae; Streptophyta; Magnoliopsida; Poales; Poaceae
Description: partial small subunit ribosomal RNA
Source: RNAcentral